UCCCUGGUGGCUCAGAUGGUAAAGCAUCUGCCUGCAAUGCAGGAGACCCAGGUUCGAUCCCCAGGUCAGGAA
This 72-nucleotide transfer RNA is filed under the name Bos taurus (domestic cattle). It matches the Rfam family "tRNA". From Rfam's summary of the family: Transfer RNA (tRNA) molecules are approximately 80 nucleotides in length. Their secondary structure includes four short double-helical elements and three loops (D, anti-codon, and T loops). Lineage: Eukaryota; Metazoa; Chordata; Mammalia; Artiodactyla; Bovidae. The record is from Rfam by way of RNAcentral. RNAcentral also lists the same sequence under 4 other names.